GGUAUGGGAUGAGCUUGCGUCCGAUUAGCUAGUUGGCGGGGCAACGGCCCACCAAGGCGACGAUCGGUAGCCGGCCUGAGAGGGUGAUCGGCCACAUUGGGACUGAGAUACGGCCCAGACUCCUACGGGAGGCAGCAGUAGGGAAUAUUGCACAAUGGGGGAAACCCUGAUGCAGCAACGCCACGUGUGGGAAGAAGCAUUUCGGUGUGUAAACCACUGUCGUGAGGGAAUAAUACGCGGUUUCGGCCGCGGGGGAAUGUACCUCGAAAGGAAGCACCGGCAAACUUCGUGCCAGCAGCCGCGGUAAUACGAGGGGUGCAAGCGUUGUUCGGAAUCACUGGGCGUAAAGGGAGCGUAGGCGGAUGUUCAAGCGGAUUGUACAAUACCGGGGCCCAACCCCGGACCUGCAGUCCGGACUGGACAUCUUGGAUAGUUCAGGGGCAGGC
This 446-nucleotide ribosomal RNA is filed under the name uncultured bacterium. Its description in RNAcentral is "bacterial SSU rRNA". It matches the Rfam family "Bacterial small subunit ribosomal RNA", at positions 217 to 662 of the family's 1533-position model. The record is from RNAcentral.